This 215-nucleotide ribosomal RNA is filed under the name uncultured fungus. Its description in RNAcentral is "partial small subunit ribosomal RNA". The stretch from base 92 to 215 matches the Rfam family "Eukaryotic small subunit ribosomal RNA", at positions 738 to 864 of the family's 1831-position model. Lineage: Eukaryota; Fungi. The record is from RNAcentral.
GACCUGGUUGGGCGGUCCGCUUAACGGCGUGUACUGUCCGACUGGGCCUUACUUCUUGGUGAGCUGGCGUGCCCUUUAUUGGUGUGCGUCGGGGAACCAGGACUUUUACCUUGAGAAAAUUAGAGUGUUCAAAGCAGGCCUAUGCCCGAAUACAUUAGCAUGGAAUAAUGGAAUAGGACUGUGGUCCCGUUUUGUUGGUUUUCAGGACCGCGGUA